RNAcentral lists this unclassified non-coding RNA (147 nucleotides) under rice phyllosphere bacterium I. Its description in RNAcentral is "16S-23S intergenic spacer". The record is from RNAcentral.
CUAUGGAGAAUUGAUGAACGCUGUUCAUCAAUAUAAGUUUCCGUGUUUCGUUUUGUUCAGUUUUGAGAGAACUAUCUCUCAUAUAUAAAUGUAUGUUCUUUGAAAACUAGAUAACAGUGUAGCUCAUAUUUUUUAAUUUUUAGUUUG